RNAcentral lists this ribosomal RNA (643 nucleotides) under Solicoccozyma terricola. Its description in RNAcentral is "eukaryotic LSU rRNA". It matches the Rfam family "Eukaryotic large subunit ribosomal RNA", at positions 38 to 667 of the family's 3401-position model. Lineage: Eukaryota; Fungi; Basidiomycota; Tremellomycetes; Filobasidiales; Piskurozymaceae. The record is from RNAcentral.
GCAUAUCAAUAAGCGGAGGAAAAGAAACUAACAAGGAUUCCCCUAGUAACGGCGAGUGAAGCGGGAAGAGCUCAAAUUUGAAAUCUGGUGGCCUCAGGCUAUCCGAGUUGUAAUCUAUAGAAACAUUUUCCGCGUUGGCCCAUGUACAAGUCUCUUGGAAUAGAGCGUCAUAGAGGGUGAGAAUCCCGUCCUUGACAUGGACUACCAGUGCUUUGUGAUAUGUUUUCAACGAGUCGAGUUGUUUGGGAAUGCAGCUCAAAAUGGGUGGUAAAUUCCAUCUAAAGCUAAAUAUUGGCGAGAGACCGAUAGCGAACAAGUACCGUGAGGGAAAGAUGAAAAGCACUUUGGAAAGAGAGUUAAACAGUAUGUGAAAUUGUUGAAAGGGAAACGAUUGAAGUCAGUCGUGUCUAUUGGACUCAGCCGGUUCUGCCGGUGUACUUCCUUUAGAUGGGGUCAACAUCAGUUUUGAUCGCUGGAAAAGGGCAGGAGGAAUGUAGCACUCUCGGGUGAACUUAUAGCCUUCUGUCGCAUACAGUGGUUGGGACUGAGGAACGCAGCUUGCCUUUAUGGCCGGGAUUUAUCCACGUACAAGCUUAGGAUGUUGACAUAAUGGCUUUAAACGACCCGUCUUGAAACACGGACC